GUCCUAUGUAAACAAAACCAGAAGACAGCACAUCCAGUACGGAAGGUCAGUGUGUUACAGAUAAGUAUUAGUGAUUCAAACAUAAACUAAGUUAUGAGCAAAUAGUGAGCUAUCUAACAGAGACUGGCCAAGGAGUGAAAUUCAGUGAUCCCCAGGAUUGCGAGCUGCUCUGAAGCUUUGAAGCCAGAAGCAAGUCAGCAAGGAGUGGGAGUCCAGAAGACCUCUGACUCUAGCAGACACUGUUAAUACUACUGCAAAGAAAAUAUUUGACCAAGACUUUCCAGGCAUCUUCCUUGUCACGAGAGCACUGAAACAGCCCUACAG
RNAcentral lists this long non-coding RNA (324 nucleotides) under Equus caballus (horse). Its description in RNAcentral is "lncRNA (ENSECAG00000048769.1)". Lineage: Eukaryota; Metazoa; Chordata; Mammalia; Perissodactyla; Equidae. The record is from RNAcentral.